AGUGAACGCUGGCGGCAGGCCUAAUACAUGCAAGUCGAACGGCAGCACAGCAGAGCUUGCUCUGUGGGUGGCGAGUGGCGGACGGGUGAGGAAUACAUGGGAAUCUGCCCAGUCGUGGGGGAUAACGUAUGGAAACGUACGCUAAUACCGCAUGCGCCCUAAGGGGGAAAGCCGGGGACCGCAAGGCCUGGCGCGAUUGGAUGAGCCCAUGUUCGAUUAGCUAGUUGGCGGGGUAAAGGCCCACCAAGGCGACGAUCGAUAGCUGGUCUGAGAGGAUGAUCAGCCACACUGGAACUGAGACACGGUCCAGACUCCUACGGGAGGCAGCAGUAGGGAAUAUUGGACAAUGGGGGCGAACCCUCGAUCCAGCCAUGCCGCGUGAGUGAAGAAGGCCCUCGGGUUGUAAAGCUCUUUUGUCCGGAAGAAAGCAAUCGGUUAAUACCCGGUUGUUCUGACGGUACCGGAAGAAUAAGCACCGGCUAACUUCGUGCCAG
This 494-nucleotide ribosomal RNA is filed under the name uncultured bacterium. RNAcentral describes it as "bacterial SSU rRNA". It matches the Rfam family "Bacterial small subunit ribosomal RNA", at positions 29 to 511 of the family's 1533-position model. The record is from RNAcentral.